GACAGAGGGUGCAAACGUUGUUCGGAAUUACUGGGCGUAAAGCGAGUGUAGGCGGUUUCCUAAGUCGGAUGUGAAAGCCCCGGGCUCAACCCGGGAAGUGCACUCGAAACUGGGAGGCUAGAGUAUCGGAGAGGUUGGUGGAAUUCUCGGUGUAGAGGUGAAAUUCGUAGAUAUCGAGAGGAACACCGGUGGCGAAGGCGGCCAACUGGACGAAUACUGACGCUGAGAAUCGAAAGCGUGGGGAGCAAACAGG
RNAcentral lists this ribosomal RNA (253 nucleotides) under uncultured bacterium. Its description in RNAcentral is "partial 16S ribosomal RNA". It matches the Rfam family "Bacterial small subunit ribosomal RNA", at positions 524 to 776 of the family's 1533-position model. The record is from RNAcentral.